GAAGGUGCUUUUAAGCAAAACGCG
Molecule: non-coding RNA, 24 nt
Filed under: Arabidopsis thaliana (thale cress)
Lineage: Eukaryota; Viridiplantae; Streptophyta; Magnoliopsida; Brassicales; Brassicaceae
Source: RNAcentral